CCCACCCAGGGAGCAAAGCUGACAGACGUAGCAGCAGAAAGAGAUGAGUCCACAGCUGGGGUAUCUUUAACAAAGCCACCAGCAAGAAGGUAGGGGAGUUGAACACAUUAUUAGGAUGUUCAUUCCUCCCUGGUGAGUCUGCAAGUCCUCCAAAGUCCCACCCCAGAGAGUAUCUCCUCUAUACCCUCAUUUUGAAUGCCUGGAAGGAAUUCAGUGCUCUCCUUCAGCUAAUGGGAACUAUUUGCUGCAUCCACUUUUGCUUCACGGGCCUUGAUGGUCUUGAACAGAGGUCUUUCAUGGGAGGAUGGAAAGAGUCAGUCACAACAAGUGUGAUGAAAGAUCCUUCUAGAACACGGUCAGCGGAGGAGGGAGGGGAUUCUGAGAGUUCAAAGCAAAGGUCCUAUACAUUUACCUCCACAUUCUUGUCCAUGAAUAUAAAAAUGCAUUUGAUAAAAAUCAUUACCAGAAUCCAUACCACAUAUUAGUAAUCAAAUUUAACUCUACACAAAUGAAACACUGGCUUAGGAGUAAAU
Lutra lutra (Eurasian river otter) is the source of this 533-nucleotide long non-coding RNA. RefSeq lists it as uncharacterized. The transcript is spliced from 3 exons. The record is from RefSeq and is a predicted model, not a curated record. NCBI's taxonomy places the organism in Eukaryota, Metazoa, Chordata, Mammalia, Carnivora, Mustelidae.